UAAGCCCGCUUGACUGCGAGAAUGACAAUUCGAGCAGGUGCGAAAGCAGGUCAUAGUGAUCCGGUGGUUCUGAAUGGAAGGGCCAUCGCUCAACGGAUAAAAGGUACUCCGGGGAUAACAGGCUGAUACCGCCCAAGAGUUCAUAUCGACGGCGGUGUUUGGCACCUCGAUGUCGGCUCAUCACAUCCUGGGGCUGAAGUCGGUCCCAAGGGUAUGGCUGUUCGCCAUUUAAAGUGGUACGCGAGCUGGGUUUAGAACGUCGUGAGACAGUUCGGUCCCUAUCUGCCGUGGGCGUUGGAAGAUUGAAGGGGGCUGCUCCUAGUACGAGAGGACCGGAGUGGACGAACCUCUGGUGUUCGGGUUGUGUCGCCAGACGCAUUGCCCGGUAGCUAAGUUCGGAAUCGAUAACCGCUGAAAGCAUCUAAGCGGGAAGCGAGCCCUGAGAUGAGUCUUCCCUGAUACUUUAAGUAUCCUAAAGGGUUGUCGGAGACUACGACGUUGAUAGGUCAGGUGUGUAAGUGCUGUGAGGCAUUGAGCUAACUGAUACUAAUUGCCCGUGAG
Molecule: ribosomal RNA, 561 nt
Filed under: Vibrio parahaemolyticus
Lineage: Bacteria; Pseudomonadati; Pseudomonadota; Gammaproteobacteria; Vibrionales; Vibrionaceae
Description: partial 23S ribosomal RNA
Rfam family: Bacterial large subunit ribosomal RNA
Source: RNAcentral